Long non-coding RNA from Austrofundulus limnaeus, 1894 nucleotides. RefSeq lists it as uncharacterized. The transcript is spliced from 3 exons. The record is from RefSeq and is a predicted model, not a curated record. Lineage: Eukaryota; Metazoa; Chordata; Actinopteri; Cyprinodontiformes; Rivulidae.
AGGUGGAAGGGAAGAUCUUGGUGAAGGAAAGCUGAACCAUGAUGAUCCACAGAGGUUGAAGCAGGAACAAAACCAAACUACUUUACUGGGUUUGGCCUUUUAAAAUAUAUUUUCCAGCAUUUUAUAUAGUUUAUGGUUGAACAUGUAUGCUUCAGUUUGUAACCAAUUUAAAAUCAGUCUUGUAUAAAAUAUAUUAUCUACAGUAUUCAUUUCAUAUGGUUAUAUAUCUUUAAUAUAAAAACACAUUUCAUGUCUGGUGUACUCUAUGAUGACUUGUCAAUGUUUAAGGAAGUCUGUGGUUUGUGUUUGACACAACACAAUAUUUUUAACUGGACAGAGUGAUAAAUAUUCAUUCCAGCUGUGUUGCUGUUGAGUUUUUACAGAAUACAUUUUACUGCUGCCUCUGUAAGAACUAGUUAGGGGAUCAUUUUAGAGAUGUUGACAUAAUAAAUAUUUACAUUAUGACAACACAAGUGUAUUAUAUUGUUUUAACUUUGUCACUAUUUUCUGCUUUUAAAAAUAAACUAUCCAAUCCUCACUGGUCUUUUUCUUUUUAUUAAAAAUUCUCAGUGGAAAUAAAAUGUGGAGUUGAAUUUAAGUGAGCAGAAAUAAUGACAAACCGGUUGUGUUCUUGAGAUGAAAAAACAAAUUAGAAAAUCAUAUUUUAAUCACCUCCUCAACAGUCCAGUAGAUGGCAGUAAUGCACCUCUUUAAUAAACUGGUCGCAACCAAAUCUGAAUAUGUACAUACUGGAGUGCUGCAGUUUAACAGAAAUCAGCUGUUCUCUUCUGGUCUGGGCUCUGAAGUCCAACCCCUCCCAUCUGUUCACAGCUGGACCUGAAUGACAAGUGCAAGCUGCUGGAUUCUGGAGCUUCAUGAUGUUGAGCAGGAGGGAGACUCAUCACCACCAGCCCAGGAAAUGAGCUUCAACCCAAAAUCAUCCUGAAUCACUUUUGGGGUUCAUAUUGUGUAGUUUUUUUGUGCCACCACGAGAUGUCGCUUUACUCAAGUUUACCUGAUCAACUUCAGGAAGUGAAUCAGAUCCAAGAGAGAAGAGCAGAUCAGAGCUGARAAGAAGUCAGACUAAUUCAUCUGGUAGCACACAGCCAAUGAGGUACGUUAUGUUUUACGUCUACAUUUUGUUUAAAAGUGUUCAAGAUAUUUAUGUUAUUUUGUCUGGAGUUUAAAUAUUUAGUCUGUGUUGCUUUAGUUUUAUAUGCUUUGUUGGUUUGAGGAAACCACUUGUGUCCAGACGGGCCUGAAAGCAGGUCUAAGAGGUGGAAAMACAGAUCAUCUUCUAAUAAGUGACCUGAUCAACUUACAACAGGUCAAAACUCCACACAGCAAAAAACGUUAAAUUAUUUUAAACUAACACAAAAAAACCAACACAACUCCUUAACUUUUACCCAUGAACAUGUAUUUUAAUACAAGUGGAAACAUUGCAUGGAUUACUUCUCAAUAUAGAUUUUUAUGUUUUAUUCAUUAUUAAGUGUCUGUUAGUUGAAGGAGUCAGAAAAUGACUGCACAAUAAACACAAAAUAUUAAUUUUUAAUAAAGUCCCAUUUGUUUACAUGAAGGGGUGAGACCUAAACCUGGGACCAUACCGUGGGAACACUGAGCCCAGACAGUCUCUGAGACCUGAUCCAGGACUGUAGACAGUUCUGCUUCUGGUCUGAACAGACUCACACAUCAGAACCAGUGCAGACACAUCUGUUCUGACUGGUAUUUCUGGUUUAUCCAACCAAACGUUCCUUUUUCACACGUGACAGAACCAAACGGACCGUCCAUCUUCAGCUUCAUCUUUAUCUUCAAACAUUUCAACCUCAUCAACAUGCAAACACCUGAACAGCCUGAAGUUCUGAAGCAGUUCUGCCCAACAUCAAACCAAAAAAAA